This 253-nucleotide ribosomal RNA is filed under the name uncultured bacterium. RNAcentral describes it as "partial 16S ribosomal RNA". It matches the Rfam family "Bacterial small subunit ribosomal RNA", at positions 524 to 776 of the family's 1533-position model. The record is from RNAcentral.
UACGUAGGGGGCAAGCGAUACUCGGAAUCACUGGGCGUAAAGCGCAUGUAGGCGGUUUGGUAAGUCUGUUGUGAAAGCUCCCGGCUUAACUGGGAGAGGUCAACGGAAACUACCAGGCUAGAGUGCGGUAGAGGUAGCUGGAAUUCCCGGUGUAGCGGUGAAAUGCGUAGAUAUCGGGAGGAAUACCUAUGGCGAAAGCAGGCUACUGGACCGUCACUGACGCUGAUCUGCGAAAGCUAGGGGAGCAAACAGG